AGUGGCGGACGGGUGAGUAACGCGUAAGAAUCUAACUUCAGGACGGGGACAACAGUUGGAAACGACUGCUAAUACCCGAUGUGCCGCAAGGUGAAACCUAAUUGGCCUGGAGAAGAGCUUGCGUCUGAUUAGCUAGUUGGUGGGGUAAAGGCCUACCAAGGCGACGAUCAGUAGCUGGUCUGAGAGGAUGAGCAGCCACACUGGGACUGAGACACGGCCCAGACUCCUACGGGAGGCAGCAGUGGGGAAUUUUCCGCAAUGGGCGAAAGCCUGACGGAGCAACGCCGCGUGAGGGAGGAAGGUCUUUGGAUUGUAAACCUCUUUUCUCAAGGAAGAAGUUCUGACGGUACUUGAGGAAUCAGCCUCGGCUAACUCCGUGCCAGCAGCCGCGGUAAUACGGGGGAGGCAAGCGUUAUCCGGAGUUAUUGGGCGUAAAGCGUCCGCAGGUGGUCAGCCAAGUCUGCCGUCAAAUCAGGUUGCUUAACGACCUAAAGGCGGUGGAAACUGGCAGACUAGAGAGCAGUAGGGGUAGCAGGAAUUCCCAGUGUAGCGGUGAAAUGCGUAGAGAUUGGGAAGAACAUCGGUGGCGAAAGCGUGCUACUGGGCUGUAUCUGACACUCAGGGACGAAAGCUAGGGGAGCGAAAGGGAUUAGAUACCCCUGUAGCCCUAGCCGUAAACGAUGGAUACUAGGCGUGGCUU
This 700-nucleotide ribosomal RNA is filed under the name uncultured bacterium. RNAcentral's name for it is "bacterial SSU rRNA". It matches the Rfam family "Bacterial small subunit ribosomal RNA", at positions 94 to 828 of the family's 1533-position model. The record is from RNAcentral.